This 253-nucleotide ribosomal RNA is filed under the name uncultured bacterium. RNAcentral describes it as "partial 16S ribosomal RNA". It matches the Rfam family "Bacterial small subunit ribosomal RNA", at positions 524 to 776 of the family's 1533-position model. The record is from RNAcentral.
UACGUAGGGUGCGAGCGUUGUCCGGAAUUACUGGGCGUAAAGAGCUUGUAGGUGGUUUGUCGCGUUGUUCGUGAAAUCUCACGGCUUAACUGUGAGCGUGCGGGCGAUACGGGCAGACUAGAGUACUGCAGGGGAGACUGGAAUUCCUGGUGUAGCGGUGGAAUGCGCAGAUAUCAGGAGGAACACCGGUGGCGAAGGUGGGUCUCUGGGCAGUAACUGACGCUGAGAAGCGAAAGCGUGGGGAGCGAACAGG